GAUGAACGCUGGCGGCGUGCCUAAUACAUGCAAGUCGAGCGAACAGACGAGGAGCUUGCUCCUCUGACGUUAGCGGCGGACGGGUGAGUAACACGUGGAUAACCUACCUAUAAGACUGGGAUAACUUCGGGAAACCGGAGCUAAUACCGGAUAAUAUAUUGAACCGCAUGGUUCAAUAGUGAAAGACGGUUUUGCUGUCACUUAUAGAUGGAUCCGCGCCGCAUUAGCUAGUUGGUAAGGUAACGGCUUACCAAGGCGACGAUGCGUAGCCGACCUGAGAGGGUGAUCGGCCACACUGGAACUGAGACACGGUCCAGACUCCUACGGGAGGCAGCAGUAGGGAAUCUUCCGCAAUGGGCGAAAGCCUGACGGAGCAAAGCCGCGUGAGUGAUGAAGGUCUUCGGAUCGUAAAACUCUGUUAUUAGGGAAGAACAAAUGUGUAAGUAACUAUGCACGUCUUGACGGUACCUAAUCAGAAAGCCACGGCUAACUACGUG
Molecule: ribosomal RNA, 497 nt
Filed under: uncultured bacterium
Lineage: Bacteria
Description: partial 16S ribosomal RNA
Rfam family: Bacterial small subunit ribosomal RNA
Source: RNAcentral